AGCAGCCGCGGUAAUUCCAGCUCCAAUAGCGUAUAUUAAAGUUGCUGCAGUUAAAAAGCUCGUAGUUGAAUUUCGGGGUUAGUAGGUUGGUCAUGCCUCUGGUAUGUACUGGUCUCACUGAUUCCUCCUUCCUGAUGAACCUUAAUGCCAUUUAUUUGGUGCUUUGGGGAAUUUGGACUGUUACUUUGAAAAAAUUAGAGUGUUUAAGCAAGCUAACGCUUGAAUACAUUAGCAUGGAAUAAUGAAAUAGGACGUUCGAUCCUAUUUUGUUGGUUUCUAGGAUUGACGUAAUGAUUAAUAGGGAUAGUUGGGGGCAUUAGUAUUCAAUUGUCAGAGGUGAAAUUCUUGGAUUUAUUGAAGACUAACUACUGCGAAAGCAUUUGCCAAGGAUGUUUUCAUUAAUCAAGAACGAAAGUUAGGGGAUCGAAGACGAUCAGAUACCGUCGUAGUCUUGACCAUAAACUAUGCCGACUAGGGAUCGGAUGAUGUUAAUUUUUUCAAUGACUCAUUCGGCGCCUUA
Molecule: ribosomal RNA, 520 nt
Filed under: uncultured Glomus
Lineage: Eukaryota; Fungi; Glomeromycota; Glomeromycetes; Glomerales; Glomeraceae
Description: SSU rRNA
Rfam family: Eukaryotic small subunit ribosomal RNA
Source: RNAcentral